GAUGAAGAACGCAGCGAAAUGCGAUACGUAAUGUGAAUUGCAGAAUUCAGUGAAUCAUCGAAUCUUUGAACGCAUAUUGCGCUCUCUGGUAUUCCGGAGAGCAUGCUUGUUUGAGUAUCAGUAAACACCUCAACUUCCAUAUGUUUUUUGAAAUGGGAGUUGGACUUGAGUGAUCCCAACGCUUUUCCUCACCGAAAAGUGGCGGGUUACUUGAAAUGCAGGUGCAGCUGGACUUUUCUCUGAGCUAUAAGCAUAUCUAUUUAGUCUGCCUAAAAAACAGAUUAUUACCUUUGCUGCAGCUAACAUAAACGAGAUUAGUUCUUGUGCUGACUGAUGCAGGAUUCACAAAGACAGGCUUCGGCCGACUUUGUAAACUCGAUCUCAAAUCAAGUAAGACUACCCGCUGAACUUAAGCAUAUCAAUAAGCGGAGGA
Molecule: unclassified non-coding RNA, 433 nt
Filed under: soil metagenome
Description: partial contains 5.8S ribosomal RNA, internal transcribed spacer 2, and large subunit ribosomal RNA
Rfam family: 5.8S ribosomal RNA (bases 1-120)
Source: RNAcentral